This 253-nucleotide ribosomal RNA is filed under the name uncultured bacterium. RNAcentral's name for it is "partial 16S ribosomal RNA". It matches the Rfam family "Bacterial small subunit ribosomal RNA", at positions 524 to 776 of the family's 1533-position model. The record is from RNAcentral.
UACAGAGGUCUCAAGCGUUGUUCGGAUUCAUUGGGCGUAAAGGGUGCGUAGGCGGCGCGGUAAGUCGGGUGUGAAAUCUCUGGGCUUAACUCCGAAACUGCAUUCGAUACUGCCGUGCUUGAGGACUGGAGAGGAGACUGGAAUUUACGGUGUAGCGGUGAAAUGCGUAGAUAUCGUAAGGAAGACCAGUGGCGAAGGCGGGUCUCUGGACAGUUCCUGACGCUGAGGCACGAAGGCCAGGGGAGCAAACGGG